GUAGGUGGCAAGCGUUGUCCGGAAUUAUUGGGCGUAAAGCGCGCGCAGGCGGUUCUUUAAGUCUGAUGUGAAAGCCCACGGCUCAACCGUGGAGGGUCAUUGGAAACUGGAGAACUUGAGUACAGAAGAGGAAAGCGGAAUUCCACGUGUAGCGGUGAAAUGCGUAGAGAUGUGGAGGAACACCAGUGGCGAAGGCGGCUUUCUGGUCUGUAACUGACGCUGAGGCGCGAAAGCGUGGGGAGCAAACAGGGAUUAGAUACCCUGGUAGUCCACGCCGUAAACGAUGAGUGCUAAGUGUUAGGGGGGUUUCCGCCCCCCCUAGUGCUGCAGCUAACGCAUUAGGCACUCCGCCUGGGGAGUACGGCCGCAAGGCUG
This 375-nucleotide ribosomal RNA is filed under the name uncultured organism. RNAcentral describes it as "partial 16S ribosomal RNA". It matches the Rfam family "Bacterial small subunit ribosomal RNA", at positions 527 to 896 of the family's 1533-position model. The record is from RNAcentral.